CGCCCUACGGGGGGCAGCAGUGGGGAAUAUUGGGCAAUGGGCGCAAGCCUGACCCAGCAACGCCGCGUGUGGGAAGACGGUCCUCUGGAUUGUAAACCACUGUCCCCAGGGACGAAGAUGACGGUACCUGGGGAGGAAGCUCCGGCUAACUACGUGCCAGCAGCCGCGGUAAUACGUAGGGAGCGAGCGUUGUCCGGAAUUACUGGGUGUAAAGGGAGCGUAGGCGGGACUGCAAGUUGGGUGUCAAAUCUACCGGCUCAACCGGUAGCCGCACUCAAAACUGCAGUUCUUGAGUGAAGUAGAGG
Molecule: ribosomal RNA, 305 nt
Filed under: uncultured bacterium
Lineage: Bacteria
Description: bacterial SSU rRNA
Rfam family: Bacterial small subunit ribosomal RNA
Source: RNAcentral